RNAcentral lists this ribosomal RNA (429 nucleotides) under Chloroflexota bacterium. RNAcentral's name for it is "Chloroflexi bacterium partial 16S ribosomal RNA". It matches the Rfam family "Bacterial small subunit ribosomal RNA", at positions 355 to 776 of the family's 1533-position model. The record is from RNAcentral. Lineage: Bacteria; Bacillati; Chloroflexota.
UGGGGAAUAUUGCACAAUGGGCGCAAGCCUGAUGCAGCCAUGCCGCGUGUAUGAAGAAGGCCUUCGGGUUGUAAAGUACUUUCAGCGGGGAGGAAGGGAGUAAAGUUAAUACCUUUGCUCAUUGACGUUACCCGCAGAAGAAGCACCGGCUAACUCCGUGCUAGCAGCCGCGGUAAUACGGAGGGUGCAAGCGUUAAUCGGAAUUACUGGGCGUAAAGCGCACGCAGGCGGUUUGUUAAGUAAGAUGUGAAAUCCCCGGGCUCAACCUGGGAACUGCAUCUGAUACUGGCAAGCUGGAGUCUCGUAGAGGGGGGUAGAAUUCCAGGUGUAGCGGUGAAAUGCGUAGAGAUCUGGAGGAAUACCGGUGGCGAAGGCGGCCCCCUGGACGAAGACUGACGCUCAGGUGCGAAAGCGUGGGGAGCAAACAGG